This 1482-nucleotide long non-coding RNA is filed under the name Homo sapiens (human). RNAcentral describes it as "uncharacterized LOC339260, transcript variant 8 (LOC339260)". Lineage: Eukaryota; Metazoa; Chordata; Mammalia; Primates; Hominidae. The record is from RNAcentral.
AGAGAAGGGUGUCCCAGAUGUAGGCAAAGCGUCCUCCAUGUGUUCCUGGAGGACCGUCCCAAGUCCUUCUCCAUUCUCCCAACCUCUUGGGCCUGGAAGUCAGACAAGUACCGGUGAUUGCCGGUUUCUUGUCUGAUUUUUGCACUUCUCUGGCAAGCUGCCCCCUCUGAAGAGUUGACUAUUUGGGAGUUACUCACUGAUGGUUCAGCCACUUCCAGAACCUACCCCAAGAGCAAGACUUGAAACCAACUCGCACCCUCAAAGCUCCGGAAGCCAUUCAGUGUUUCCAUCUUGGCUGAGUGAGUUCUUCACUGAAACUCAAUUUGACUUUGACAGUCAUCUAAUGAGAACUCAAAAGUCAUUCUUGGUUCAGCCACAGUCAAAGAACUUGCAGAGCAUUCUCUGACGAGGUCCUCAAGGACAACUGAGAGAAGGGAUGUCCUCCACCUUUUCAAUCUGAUUUGCUCUUUGCCAUGCAGACCUGUGGAUGAAGAGCCAGAGUCCUCCAAGGUGAAGCUGGACUGAAUAUUUCUGUCCAUAAGACUAUUAGAAUCCCCCAAAGUGGGAUACCAGUGAGGACCUCACCAGCAGCUGCUGUCUCUCCAAUGCAGCUCCACAGGGCCUGUGAGCAGGGCUGGCUAUGAGAUCCUGCCCUGAAGAGCAGUACUGGGCUGCUCUGCUAGGCACCUGCAUGUCCUGCAAAGCCAUCUGCAACCAUCAGAGCCAGCGCACCUGUGCAGCCUCCUGCGGUGAGUUCUGGGACCUGAGCCCAGGGGACAGUGUGAUCACCCCCAACGCCUGUCCCCAGAGCACCCUCUGGCCCCACAGUCAGGUGGCUGAGGAGAGGAUGGCAGGAGGAGAUGUACAGUGUGGCACCUCUUAUCCCUCCACCUUCCUGCUCUGGCCACACUGCCUCCUUUCAGUGUCGAACAUGCCAUGUUCUUCCCUGCCUCGGGUUCUUUGCACAUGUUGUUCCCGCUGCCUGGAAUGCAUGCUCUCUAUCAUCUUCCCUCAGCUCCCUCCUACCCAACUUUCAGGUCUCGGCCCAAACAUCGGGGGUCUCCUCUGACCACACAGUAGUACUGGGCCCUCCUUUGUACUGCUAGUGUUACUUUCUUUUGAAACUUUUAAUUACAGAACUUACCACACAUAUACAUAGAGAGGACUGCACAAUGAUGCCCUCCUCAUCCAUUACCAGCUUCACAAAUCAUUUAAAUUCUGCCUUGUACUUUCCCAACCAGUUGUUUUGGCUUGUGUAUUUUAAAGCAAAGCCAAGACCUCAUAUCAUUUUACCUGCAGAUACUGGGCCAUAAAGAUCUGUAAAACAUAACCCAAAUAUCCUAUCACUGCCAGCAAUAAUUUAUUAACAUCAUCUAAUAUUCAGGCCAUAUCCAAUUUUCCCUGAUUGUCUUGAAAACUAUCCAUUGCUUGCUGUUCUUUUUCAUAAUCUGUCUUUUUCCUUGAUAGAACUUACCACAAUUU